Salmo salar (Atlantic salmon) is the source of this 121-nucleotide non-coding RNA. The record is from Rfam. NCBI's taxonomy places the organism in Eukaryota, Metazoa, Chordata, Actinopteri, Salmoniformes, Salmonidae.
GCUUACGGCAUAUAUACACAAUACAGUCAUUGGCUUACGCCGAGUCUCGGAAGCUAAGCAGGGUCGGGCCUGGUUAGUACUUGGAUGGUACACUGCCUGGGAACACCAGGUGCUGUAAGCA